Molecule: ribosomal RNA, 1744 nt
Filed under: Nornalupia sp. NLG-2014
Lineage: Eukaryota; Metazoa; Arthropoda; Insecta; Coleoptera; Carabidae
Description: partial 16S ribosomal RNA
Source: RNAcentral
ACUAGGAUUAGAUACCCUAUUAUUUUAAAUGUAAAAUUUUUUACUUAAGUAGUAUUAGUUAUGUUCUUGAAAUUUAAAGAUUUUGGCGGUAUUUUAGUCUUUUUAGAGGAACCUGUUCUAUAAUUGAUAAUCCACGAUUGAUUUUACUUAUUUUAUAAAUUUGUAUACCGUCGUUAUAAGAAAAUUUUAUUAGAAUGUGAAUUUUUAAUAUUUUUAAUUAAAAAAUAUAUCAGAUCAAGGUGCAGUCUAUAUUUAAGAAGAAAUGGGUUACAAUAAGUUUAUUUAUACGGAUAAAAAUGAGAAUAAAUUUAUUUGAAGGUGGAUUUAAUUGUAAUAAAAUUUAAUUUAAUUUUAUGAUUUUGGCUCUAAAAUAUGUACAUAUCGCCCGUCACUCUUAUUAUAAGAUAAGAUAAGUCGUAACAUAGUAGAUGUACUGGAAAGUGUAUCUAGAAUGACAAAUUAGAGCUUGUAUUAGUAAAGCAUUUUAUUUACAUUAAAGAGUUAUUGUGCAAAUCAAUUUAAUUUGAAAUUUAAAAUUUAUUAAGAUAUAUUUAUAUUUUUUUUGUUAAUAAAAAUAAUUUUAAUUAUUUAAGUUUUAGUAUUUUUUAUAGAAAAAAUUUUAUUUAUUAUAGUUUAAUAGUAUUGUAAAAGAAAGUUGAAAUAUAAUUUAAUUGUAUAAAAGUAAAAUUUAAUUUUUGUACCUUGUGUAUCAGGGUUUAUUAAAUAAGAAUUAAUUAUUUUAAUUUUCUCGAUUUUAAGAGAGUUAAUAAAUUAUUUUUUUUAUUGUAAAAUAAAUAUUUAUAAUAAUUUAUUAGUAAUGAAAUGUUAUUCGUUCUUAAAUAUAUCUAGUUUAUUUAGAAAUGAAUUUAAUUCAGAUAUUUUAAUUUUAAUAAUUUAAUUUGUUAAAUUAUUAAAUUUUAAUAUUAAUAAUUAAAGGGAUAAGCUUUUAAUUAAAAAUUUAUAAAUUAUAAAGUUAGUUUAAAAAAUGUAAGCUUAGAAAUAGCUAUCAUUAAUAAUUUGUUAUAAUUAAUUUAUUUAAAAAUAUGAUUUUAUAAAAUUUUAAGUUUUUAUAAAUAAAUAAUUUUUAAUUUAUAAAAAUUAGAUAAAAUGAUAAAAUUAGUAUAUAUUGGAAAUAUUUAAAUAAUUAUUUAUAAUAGAUUAUUUAAAGGAAUUCGGCAAAUAUUUUACUCGCCUGUUUAACAAAAACAUGUCUUUUUGAUAUAUAUAUAAAGUCUAACCUGCCCACUGAAUUUUUAAAUGGCUGCAGUAAUUUGACUGUACAAAGGUAGCAUAAUCAUUAGUUUUUUAAUUAAAAGCUUGUAUGAAAGGUUGGACGAGGUAAAAUCUGUCUCUAUUUAAUUUAUAGUAGAAUUUAAUUUUUAAGUUAAAAAGCUUAAAUAAUUAUAAAAGACGAGAAGACCCUAUAGAGCUUUAUAUUUUUAUUUAAUAUAAUUAAUUAGGAUUUAUUUAAGUUUUAUUAUUAAAAUUAUUUUAUUGGGGUAAUAAAAAGAUUGAAAUAAUUCUUUUUAAUUAUUUACAUUUAUUUAUGGUUUAAAUGAUCCAUUUUUAAUGAUUAAAAGAUUAAGUUACCUUAGGGAUAACAGCGUAAUUUUUUUAAAGAGUUCAUAUCGAUAAAAAAGUUUGCGACCUCGAUGUUGGAUUAAAGAUUAAUUUAGGUGUAGAAGUUUAAAUAUUUGGUCUGUUCGACCAUUAAAUCUUUACAUGAUCUGAGUUCAAACCGGAG